CUGGUGUCCUGCUUCUCUGCUCUGCCUGGGAGGAUGCUGAAUCAGAACAUUAAAAUAGUCUCUCAACUGAAGCCAAGUAAAGACAUUUAUGAAGUGCCUCCUAGAUAAAGCAAUGAAUAAGAAAGACAAGAUCCCUGCCCUCUUGGAGGUUACAUUCCACUGGUGGCUGGGGGAAUUGGCCCAGGAGAGGAAAAGCUUGU
This is a long non-coding RNA of Neogale vison (American mink), 200 nucleotides long. RefSeq lists it as uncharacterized. The transcript is spliced from 3 exons. NCBI's taxonomy places the organism in Eukaryota, Metazoa, Chordata, Mammalia, Carnivora, Mustelidae. The record is from RefSeq and is a predicted model, not a curated record.